This 73-nucleotide transfer RNA is filed under the name Bos taurus (domestic cattle). It matches the Rfam family "tRNA". Rfam says of the family: Transfer RNA (tRNA) molecules are approximately 80 nucleotides in length. The record is from Rfam by way of RNAcentral. RNAcentral also lists the same sequence under 3 other names. Lineage: Eukaryota; Metazoa; Chordata; Mammalia; Artiodactyla; Bovidae.
GCCUCCUUAGCACAAUAGGCAGCAUGCCAGUCUCAUAAUCUGAAGGUCUUAAGUUUGAACCUUAAAGAGGGCA